CCUACGGGUGGCAGCAGUGGGGAAUAUUGGACAAUGGGGGGAACCCUGAUCCAGCCAUGCCACGUGUGUGAAGAAGGCCCUCGGGUUGUAAAGCACUUUCAGUGAGGAAGAACGCCUGGUGGUUAAUACCCAUCAGGAAAGACAUCACUCACAGAAGAAGCACCGGCUAACUCCGUGCCAGCAGCCGCGGUAAUACGGAGGGUGCGAGCGUUAAUCGGAAUUACUGGGCGUAAAGCGCGCGUAGGUGGCUUGAUAAGCCGGUUGUGAAAGCCCCGGGCUCAACCUGGGAACGGCAUCCGGAACUGUCAAGCUAGAGUGCAGGAGAGGAAGGUAGAAUUCCCGGUGUAGCGGUGAAAUGCGUAGAGAUCGGGAGGAAUACCAGUGGCGAAGGCGGCCUUCUGGACUGACACUGACACUGAGGUGCGAAAGCGUGGGUAGCAAACAGGAUUAGAUACCCUAGUAGUC
This 465-nucleotide ribosomal RNA is filed under the name Vreelandella stevensii. Its description in RNAcentral is "partial 16S ribosomal RNA". It matches the Rfam family "Bacterial small subunit ribosomal RNA", at positions 338 to 795 of the family's 1533-position model. Lineage: Bacteria; Pseudomonadati; Pseudomonadota; Gammaproteobacteria; Oceanospirillales; Halomonadaceae. The record is from RNAcentral.